RNAcentral lists this ribosomal RNA (163 nucleotides) under uncultured bacterium. RNAcentral's name for it is "partial 16S rRNA". It matches the Rfam family "Bacterial small subunit ribosomal RNA", at positions 357 to 511 of the family's 1533-position model. The record is from RNAcentral.
GGGAAUCUUCGGCAAUGGGGGCAACCCUGACCGAGCAACGCCGCGUGAGUGAAGAAGGUUUUCGGAUCGUAAAGCUCUGUUGUAAGAGAAGAACGUGUGUGAGAGUGGAAAGUUCACACAGUGACGGUAACUUACCAGAAAGGGACGGCUAACUACGUGCCAG